This 439-nucleotide ribosomal RNA is filed under the name uncultured bacterium. Its description in RNAcentral is "partial 16S ribosomal RNA". It matches the Rfam family "Bacterial small subunit ribosomal RNA", at positions 339 to 795 of the family's 1533-position model. The record is from RNAcentral.
CUACGGGUGGCUCCAGUGGGGAAUAUUGCACAAUGGAGGAAACUCUGAUGCAGCAACGCCGCGUGGAGGAUGACACUUUUCGGAGCGUAAACUCCUUUUAUAUAGGAAGAAGAUGACGGUACUAUAUGAAUAAGCGCCGGCUAACUCCGUGCCAGCAGCCGCGGUAAUACGGAGGGCGCAAGCGUUACUCGGAAUCACUGGGCGUAAAGAGCGUGUAGGCGGAUUAAAAAGUCCGAAGUGAAAUCCUAUAGCUUAACUAUAGAACUGCUUCUGAAACUCUUAAUCUAGAAUAUGGGAGAGGUAGAUGGAAUUUCUGGUGUAGGGGUAAAAUCCGUAGAGAUCAGAAGGAAUACCGAUUGCGAAGGCGAUCUACUAGAACAUUAUUGACGCUGAGACGCGAAAGCGUGGGGAGCAAACAGGAUUAGAUACCCUAGUAGUC